GUCAGUUUAUAUUAUACAGGAAGUAUUAUUAAAGAGAUGUAGUAGUCCCAGAGUUAAUGAUCCCAGGUCAGUUUAUAUUAUACAGGAAGUAUUAUUAAAGAGAUGUAGUAGUCCCAGAGUUAAUGAUCCCAGGUCAGUUUAUAUUAUACAGGAAGUAUUAUUAAAGAGAUGGAGUAGUCCCAGAGUUAAUGAUCCCAGGUCAGUUUAUAUUAUACAGGAAGUAUUAUUAAAGAGAUGGAGUAGUCCCAGAGUUAAUGAUCCCAGGUCAGUUUAUAUUAUACAGGAAGUAUUAUUAAAGAGAUGUAGUAGUCCCAGAGUUAAUGAUCCCAGGUCAGUUUAUAU
Oncorhynchus keta (chum salmon) is the source of this 342-nucleotide long non-coding RNA. RefSeq lists it as uncharacterized. The record is from RefSeq and is a predicted model, not a curated record. Lineage: Eukaryota; Metazoa; Chordata; Actinopteri; Salmoniformes; Salmonidae. The transcript has 3 exons.